UGUAAAGAAAGCCAGGGAUCUCUGCAAUACCAGAAAGCUCCGCUUGCACAAAUUCAUCAGCAACAGCAAGAAGGUGACUGCUACAAUUCCGAAGGAGGAAUGUACUGAAAGUGCAACUGACUUUGACUUGGCCCUAGGAGAACCUAAGGUAGAAAGGCUGCUCGGAAUUCAUUGGUGUGUAGCUUCAGACAAGUUUCAUAUUGAGUGCUAAUAAAAGAAAAACCUUUUACUAGAAGAGGAGUGCUGUCUACAGUUGCUUCCAUUUUUGAUCUCUUGGAUUCGUUGCUCCCUUCAUUCUAGUUGGGAAGUUGGGAAAAGAAUCCUACAAAGGAUUUGUCAAGACAAGACAGGCUGGGACGAACCACUACCUGAUGACCUCAAGCCGCAUUAGGAUGCUUGCCUGAGCUUGCCGAAUCAUAUACUUACAAUGAAGCCUACGAUCAUUGCACCACCUUCUGGAGAGUUUGUAAGGGAGGAUCUCUAUCUUAAGAAGAGACGGAAAAGAGUUCAAUUCCUGGCGAAUGAGUUUUGGGCCAGGUGGAGAAAGGAAUAUCUGUUAAGUUUGCAGAAGAGAUGUAAGUGGAAUAAGAGCAGGAGAAAAGCCAAGAUAAAUGACAUUGUUCUGCUCCAAGAUGACUUCGCACCACAAAAUCAGUCGAAGCUAGCCAAAGUAGUAGAAGUCUUCCCAGGAACUGAUGGAAGGAUGAGAAGACUUAAACUUCUUUGCCAGGGUGCACGCACAAGUACGUCAGUCUACCUAGAAAGACCCAUACACAAACAGUGUGAUGGUGGGAGUGUAUUUGCUGUCACAAAGCUUUCUGUCUUUAAUGUUUAUAUUCCACUAGAUGGCGCUUGUGUACCUUAGCACUCAUUUACUUAAGCUAAUUUUCAUUAAUCUAAUUUUGCGUUUUUUUAUGUUUUGACUAUUUUCUAAUGUUUAUUGUGAUCUCUAUACUGAACUGUUGUUUAUUUGAGCAAGAUUGAAUCUUUCUAAGAGUUUGUUGGUUAUAUUUUAUUUUGUUCCCAUCAUGCCUUUGUAUGUAACUUCCUGUUUGUCAAGUUAAAGAUGUUUCUCUCUGUAUCCUAUGCCAUCCAACCAAGAAAGUGCAAGCUAUAACCUCCUCUCUUAGCUCACAAGCAGGCAAAAGUGAUUACAAUUUGUUGUACAUUUGACACGAGGGAUCCAGCAACAUGAAAAAAUGUAAAGUUAUUUGCAGUGCAGAAGAAGCUGACACGAGUUUCAGGAGUUUCAUAGCAGCAACACAGGUGCACAUUUUGGCCAGCGUAAAACUAGAGAUGCCAUUUCUCAGGGGUACUACUGGCCUGGCAUGUCAGCAGACAUAGAGAAAUGGGUAUCACAGUGUACAGUGUGCCAGACAAAUAAUAAAGAUAUAAAGCUGCAGACAGACCUCAAACCGAUCAAGGUCAAGACUCCAUUCGAACUGAUUGCCAAAUCUGACCAGGAGAAUCAGUAUAUAUGUGUAAUAGUAGAUUAUUGCAGGAGAUGGUCACAGGCAUGUCCCCUUAAACACAGUCUGCUAAAGAAGUUACACAAUCCAUAUUAAAAUGUGUUUAGCAACUUGAAGUGCCGAAACGAAUUUGAUCAGAUCAGGACAGAGAGUUUGUCACCACAAUCAACACUGAGGUCUGCAAAAUGCUUGGCAUAAAAUGAAGUCUUUGUGCCCCAUACCCCAAUGCCUUUGUGCCCCAUACCCCAGUGCCUUUGUGCCCCAUACCCCAAUGCCUUUGUGCCCCAUACCCCAGUGCCUUUGUGCCCCAUACCCCAGUGCCUUUGUGCCCCAUACCCCAGUGCCUUUGUGCCCCAUACCCCAGUGCCUUUGUGCCCCAUACCCCAGUGCCUUUGUGCCCCAUACCACCCUCAGACCAACAGAUAGGUGGAGAGGCUCAAUGGCACUGU
Long non-coding RNA from Tachysurus vachellii, 1918 nucleotides. RefSeq lists it as uncharacterized. The record is from RefSeq and is a predicted model, not a curated record. The transcript is spliced from 5 exons. NCBI's taxonomy places the organism in Eukaryota, Metazoa, Chordata, Actinopteri, Siluriformes, Bagridae.